RNAcentral lists this ribosomal RNA (347 nucleotides) under Pantoea septica. RNAcentral's name for it is "bacterial SSU rRNA". It matches the Rfam family "Bacterial small subunit ribosomal RNA", at positions 107 to 457 of the family's 1533-position model. Lineage: Bacteria; Pseudomonadati; Pseudomonadota; Gammaproteobacteria; Enterobacterales; Erwiniaceae. The record is from RNAcentral.
UGAGUAAUGUCUGGGAAACUGCCCGAUGGAGGGGGAUAACUACUGGAAACGGUAGCUAAUACCGCAUAACGUCGCAAGACCAAAGUGGGGGACCUUCGGGCCUCACACCAUCGGAUGUGCCCAGAUGGGAUUAGCUAGUAGGUGGGGUAACGGCUCACCUAGGCGACGAUCCCUAGCUGGUCUGAGAGGAUGACCAGCCACACUGGAACUGAGACACGGUCCAGACUCCUACGGGAGGCAGCAGUGGGGAAUAUUGCACAAUGGGCGCAAGCCUGAUGCAGCCAUGCCGCGUGUAUGAAGAAGGCCUUCGGGUUGUAAAGUACUUUCAGCGGGGAGGAAGGCGAUGC